Molecule: ribosomal RNA, 1477 nt
Filed under: uncultured Bordetella sp.
Lineage: Bacteria; Pseudomonadati; Pseudomonadota; Betaproteobacteria; Burkholderiales; Alcaligenaceae
Description: partial 16S-23S ribosomal RNA intergenic spacer
Rfam family: Bacterial small subunit ribosomal RNA
Source: RNAcentral
AGUUCGAUCCUGGCUCAGAUUGAACGCUGGCGGGGAUAAAGCUUUACAUGCAAGUCGAACGGCAGCACGGACUUCGGUCUGGUGGCGAGUGGCGAACGGUGAGUAAUGUAUCGGAACGUGCCGAGAAGCGGGGAUAACUACGCGAAAGCGUAGCUAUCAUUGCAUACAGCUCCUUCGGAAAGCGGGGGACCUGGGGCUCCUCGCACUAUUAGAGCGGCCGAUAUCGGGAUUAGCUAGGGUUAUGGUAACGGCUCACCAUAUGAUGAUCCGUAGCUGGUUUGAGAGGACGACCAGGCUACAUCGGGAUCGAGACAUUUGCCCAGACUUAAGCGGAGGCAGCAGUGGGAAUUUUGGACAAUGGGGAAACUCCCUGAUCCAGCCAUCCGCGUGCGAUGAAGGCCUUCGGGUUGUAAAGCACUUUGGCAGGAAAGAAACGGCAUCGGGAUAAUACCCCGUGCAACUGACGGUACCCAGUAUAUCAAGCACCGGCUAACUACGCCAGCAGUUGCAGUAAUACGUAGGGUGCAAGCGUUAAUCGGAAUUACUGGGCGUAAAGCGUGUAGGCGGUUUGGAAAGAAAAGAUGUGAAAUCCCAGAGUUUAAACUUUGAACUGCAUUUAACUACCGAGCUAGAGGUGUCAGAGGAGGUGGAAUUCUGCGUGUAGCAGUGAAAUGCGUAGAUAUGCGGAGGAACACCGAUGGCGAAGGCAGCUCUCUGGGAUAACACUGACGCUCAUGCACGAAAGCGUGGGGAGCAAACAGGAUUAGAUACCUCUGGUAGUUCCACGCCCUAAACGAUGUCAACUAUUGCUGGGGCCUUCGGCCUUGGUAGCGCAGCUAACGCGUGAAGUUGACCGUUUGGGGAGUACGGUCGCAGAUUAAAACUCAAAAGGAAUUGACGGGGACUCCGCACAAGUUAGUGGAUGAUGGGAUUAAUUCGAUGCAACGCGAAAACCUUACCUACCCUUGACAUGUCUGGAAUCCCGAAGAGAUUUGGGGAGUGCUCGCAAGAGAACCUGAACACAGGUGUUGCAUGGCUGUCGUCAGCUCGUGUCGUGAGAUGUUGGGUUAAGUCCCGCAACGAGCGCAACUCCUUGUCAUUAGUUGCUAAUGAAAGCUGGCACUCCUGGACGAGACUGCCGGUGACAACCGAGUGAAGGUGGGGAUGACGUCAAGUCCUCAUGGCCCUUAUGGGUAGGGCUUCACACGUCACAAUGAGCCGGGACAGAGGGCCGCCAACCCGCGAGGGAGAGCCAAUCCCAGAAACCCGAUCGUAGUCCGGAUCGCAGUCUGCACCCCGACUGCGUGAAGUCGAAUCGCUAGCAACGGAUCAGCAUGUCGCGGUGAAUACGUUCCUGGCCUGUACACACCGCCCGUCACACCAUGGGGAGUGGUUACCAGAAGUAGUUAGCCUUAACCGUAAGGAGGGCGAUUACCACGGUAGGAUUCAUGACUGGGGUGAAGCCGUAACAAGGUAG